This 1632-nucleotide long non-coding RNA is filed under the name Mus musculus (house mouse). RNAcentral's name for it is "long non-coding RNA chr7:98656198-98657830". Lineage: Eukaryota; Metazoa; Chordata; Mammalia; Rodentia; Muridae. The record is from RNAcentral.
AGCGGAGACGACAACGGAGAAAAAGCGGGGGCACGGACAGACAGUCAGACAACCCGGAGUCGCCUCGGGGCUCCUAGACCUCGACCUCCGGCGUCCCAUCACCAGGCAUGCCGGAGUCGCCCUCAGUCCACUUGAGGGAGCCCCGCGAUCCCGUUAGGAAACAACGGAGGAUGGGGCUGACCGACCCAAGCCGGGCUCCCCGUGCCUGGCCAAGCGCUCCCCUACCCUGGAUAGCCUGCCAGCUUUUCCCAGGACCCUGCCUGAGAGACACCCACCUGCCCGGCCUUUCGGGGCUCAUCUAAAAGGCUCCUCCGCCAAGACUAGGGGACACCAGGAAUUAGGUUUGUUUGCGGUGCCUCAGAAGGGGCAAGAUGGCGACAGAUACCAGAGCGCAGGCGCAGGCGCGCGCGGCUCGCCGGGAGGUGUAGUUCGCCUUUCCCGCCUUUUGAGAAACGAGCACUCAAAAGCCUCCAUUCUUCCUGUCCCUUUUCCUCUGCCUUUUGAAAGGAAAGGGCGGACAACGCGGGUCCUAGUGGGAGUUGUAGUCCGAGUCCAACCUCGCUCCUCUUUCUCUUGCUGCUUGCUGGUCACAUGCGCAAGGAAGUCUGGGAGUGUAGUUCCUUUCGGCUUCUACAUUACCCUCCAGUCUCCAGCUUCGCGCGCCUAUCCUCCGGUCUUUCCCAGCCAAUCAGCUGCUCUUUCGGCUGUACGUGUGGCGUCACACGUAGCGGUCAAGAUGGCGUCUGUAAUUGGAGCUGAGCUUCGACCUUUUCACUCUAGCGAGGGUUGGGAUGAAAAGAACACAGCUUGGUCCCUGAUGCCCAGUUGAGGAUUAAGAUCUGGUUCCGUAGACGCUUGGGAGUAGUCAUCAGCGUCUUCCAGCCACCCAAACGACAACUCAAGAAAGGUUAUCCACUACGGAGAGAGAAGACCUCACAGUGGCCCGUACACCUUUCUCGGUGUUAGGAGUUGCAAGUGGAGGAAAGGAAUCCGAGCGGUCUCAGCUUGGAGUUACGCCAUGUACGAAGUAGGAGAGGUAGUGAUAUCUCGUGCAAAAUCUGACAAAGGGAAGAAGGGACUUACUUGAGGCACUACGACAUGGUAGGUUCACCAUCAGCCUUUGUUCUUAACCACACAAUGUUGUGGAGGCCUUGUGCCCCUAUUUUACAGAUCGAUAGGGACCCAAUAUAUUGUUUCUCUGAUCCAAGAACUCAAAGUUAAUUUCUAGUAUUAUAAAUCCCAUCGAAUUUUGUUGUGUCCUCCCUCUAAAUAAAGAACUCUGGUAGCAUCGGAUGCAAUGAAAGUGCAAAUCUUGAGGAAUUGUUAGUGUGCAUCCUUCUGUUAGCAGAUUCCCGUGAAAACUAGGGUAACCACUGGGAGGACAUCUAGCUCAAUGGCAGAUUGCUUGUCAAGUAUGUGCAAGACCUGGAGACCUGAAUCGGAUUCCUAGCACUAAGGGAUGUUAGGAUGGACACACGAGAAAAACUACCCUGUGGGAAUAUUAAGAUACACAACGUGAAUGAAAGUUCUUUUCCUAGUUCAUUAUGAAUUACAUUUAUAAUCUCAGCACUGUAGAAGUGGAAGAAGAUGAGGAAUGCAGGGUCAGACUGGACUGCAAGAGACACCGAGACC